RNAcentral lists this ribosomal RNA (464 nucleotides) under uncultured bacterium. RNAcentral's name for it is "partial 16S ribosomal RNA". It matches the Rfam family "Bacterial small subunit ribosomal RNA", at positions 339 to 795 of the family's 1533-position model. The record is from RNAcentral.
CUACGGGGCGCAGCAGUGGGGAAUAUUGCACAAUGGGCGCAAGCCUGAUGCAGCCAUGCCGCGUGUAUGAAGAAGGCCUUCGGGUUGUAAAGUACUUUCAGCGGGGAGGAAGGGAGUAAAGUUAAUACCUUUGCUCAUUGACGUUACCCGCAGAAGAAGCACCGGCUAACUCCGUGCCAGCAGCCGCGGUAAUUCGGAGGGUGCAAGCUUUAAUCGGAAUUACUGGGCGUAAAGCGCACGCAGGCGGUUUGUUAAGUCAGAUGUGAAAUCCCCGGGCUCAACCUGGGAACUGCAUCUGAUACUGGCAAGCUUGAGUCUCGUAGAGGGGGGUAGAAUUCCAGGUGUAGCGGUGAAAUGCGUAGAGAUCUGGAGGAAUACCGGUGGCGAAGGCGGCCCCCUGGACGAAGACUGACGCUCAGGUGCGAAAGCGUGGGGAGCAAACAGGAUUAGAUACCCCAGUAGUC